Cercocebus atys (sooty mangabey) is the source of this 65-nucleotide microRNA precursor. NCBI's taxonomy places the organism in Eukaryota, Metazoa, Chordata, Mammalia, Primates, Cercopithecidae. The record is from Ensembl.
AGAAAGAAGGAAGCUGAAUUCAUUUAGAAAAGAGAAUUCCAAAUGAGCUUAAUUUCCUUUUUUCU